AACGAACGCUGGCGGCAUGCCUAACACAUGCAAGUCGAACGAGACCUUCGGGUCUAGUGGCGCACGGGUGCGUAACGCGUGGGAACCUGCCCUUAGGUUCGGAAUAACUCCCCGAAAGGGGUGCUAAUACCGGAUAAUGUCUUCGGACCAAAGAUUUAUCGCCUUUGGAUGGGCCCGCGUUGGAUUAGCUAGUUGGUAGGGUAAAAGCCUACCAAGGCAACGAUCCAUAGAUGGUCUGAGAGGAUGAUCAGCCACACUGGGACUGAGACACGGCCCAGACUCAGACGGGAGGCAGCAGGAGGGAAUCGUCCGCUAUGGGCGAAUGCCGGACGGAGCAACACCGAGUGAGUGAUGAAGGUCUUCGGAUCGUAAAACUCUGAUAGUAGGGAGGAAAAAAGGUGUAAGGAACUAGGCAGGUCUUGACGGUACCUAAUCAGAAAGCCACGGCUAACUACGUG
Molecule: ribosomal RNA, 458 nt
Filed under: uncultured bacterium
Lineage: Bacteria
Description: partial 16S ribosomal RNA
Rfam family: Bacterial small subunit ribosomal RNA
Source: RNAcentral